This is a regulatory RNA element of Thermobrachium celere DSM 8682, 115 nucleotides long. It matches the Rfam family "FMN riboswitch aptamer (RFN element)". From Rfam's summary of the family: The RFN element is a highly conserved domain that is found frequently in the 5'-untranslated regions of prokaryotic mRNAs that encode for flavin mononucleotide (FMN) biosynthesis and transport proteins. The record is from Rfam. Lineage: Bacteria; Bacillati; Bacillota; Clostridia; Eubacteriales; Clostridiaceae.
AAAAAUCUUCAGGGCAGGGUGAAAUUCCCGACCGGCGGUAUAGCCCGCGAGCCGAAAGGCAUGACUCGGUGAAAUUCCGAGGCCGACAGUAUAGUCUGGAUGGGAGAAGAUUUAU